GCAAUAGCUCAAUGGCAGAGCAUCUGCCUUGCAAGCAGGAGGUCCCAGACUCAGUACCUGUUAUCUCCA
Podarcis lilfordi (Lilford's wall lizard) is the source of this 69-nucleotide non-coding RNA. The record is from the annotation of a GenBank genome assembly. NCBI's taxonomy places the organism in Eukaryota, Metazoa, Chordata, Lepidosauria, Squamata, Lacertidae.